CCGAGCCGCGCUCGGUCUGGCCGUUCCCUCUAUCCUCUUGCACCCCCCUCGCCCCCCUUUUGUUUUGGGUUUUUUUUUUUUUUUUAAUUUAGUUUUUUAAUGUGCGGUGUGCGGAAUUUCGUCUCUUUAAACUCUGUGUGGUUCUGCCCCGGUAAACGGGACGGGUCCAUCCCCGGCUCGCACGCUUACAUGCUCAAUCCACACAGGAAGAAGCAGAAGUUUUAACCAUCUUCCCAUGGCAUCUGACUUUUUUGAAGAGGAGGACUUUUCAGCCGUUUGAUCGAAGGGAAAUAAGAAGUUUGUUUCAAGACUCCUAUGUUGUUCAUCAGUUCUGUUAACAAAUGUGGGGCUUGAGAAUACAUUUGCUUCUUCUCUUCAUUUUUGCUGAAGGUGCUGCAGCAUGGUGGGAGCUCCUGUAGCUGUAACCUGGUCUCCGGUGUGGGUGUUAGAGGAAGGACCUUGCUGUCUCCCAGCUCCUCUAGGCAUUAAGUUCCAUGAAUGUCUCUUGGGAAGAGGACAGCUCUGUAGAGCCUAAGUUUCAAAAGUAAUUUUAAAGAUUGCAUCCAAGAGAGAAGCAGUGAGGCCCACUGUAGGGAGAAUGAACCCAGCAGUCCAUCCUGUCCUGUGCCUGCCUGAAUAUGGGAAGAGACCUAGUACAAAGCUGGAAUGCAUCUGGGCUUGCAGUCUUUUUAACCAUAUUAAGUCCUGUUCAGAGUUAAUGAUGAGCUCAGUGAGAUGGUCUCAGCAAUGCUGAAGAAGGGAAGAGCAGAAUUGGAAGGCAGGAGCUAUUUCGAAGCAGGAUUCUUCAUCUUUCCGUAAUGCCCAAACGUGAAGACUUUAUAAACUUCAUUAGCUAUGAAAGAAGCUCAAAAUGAGGUCUGGAGAGUGGAGAGAGGCUUUAUUUUUCAUCGCUGAAGUCUCCCUGCACUCAGGGAACAAAGUUUGUCAUGGUGAGACACCAGACCUUUGAAGAGGCUCAGGUAACCUCUCACAGUGUGCAUGGUGCCAACAAAGGGGCCCUGUCAGCCUUUGUAGAGGGCGUUGAGACCUCAGUCAGCAUUGACUUUUCAGAAGAUGAGGAGUGUGUUGGUGAAGUGCUAGACUGUGGUUCUUCGGAUCUGUUGGUUCAUGGAGGAACAGAAGAAGCUCGGCAUGAAGAUGAAAAGGUGACAGCAGCAGCAGUAUCCUGGAGGUUGUGAUCACACAGGCAGAUGAGGUGGUGAUAGACAAUACUUCAUAUAAAAUUCCCUUUUAUCUUACCUGAUUUGUAUUCUUGGCUGUGGUCAGAAAUACAGCUUGUUGUUUCUGAUUAAUUCUUUAAUUUUCAUUUAUUUGUAUUUUGAAUUUAGAAAAAUUCUAUUUCAUGUUGGAAACGUUCUCCCUCUAACCCAAAAUGCAUUAAAAAGGCUAUUUGUUUAAUCAGCAGGAUUUUUUAAUCUUAUUAUAUGCUGCUCAAAAAUGAAUAUUUCUUUGUAUUGUACAGUACACAUUUACAUAAAUUAGUGUUAUCCUUGGUUAUUUUGCAACCCAUAAUUUAUAUGCUUUUUAGUUUUAUCAUAAAAUAAAAUCUUGCCUCUAAUAUUCUGGGAACAUUUUUAGCAUCAUAGCAAAUUACCUUGGGAGGAACUAUUACACAGUCAGUGAACUAUCCUACUUGAGUUUAAAAAAAAAAAAGAGGAACUUAAAUGUGUAUCAAAUGCUCAGCUUUCACUACUCUUUCAUUUUCGCAGGCUUUUGAAAACUGCAAAUUGGUAAAAAUUCUAGUAAAAUUCAUCUGGAGCAUAAAAUAUUUGCAACAUUUUUGGUUGCUUGAAAAAGAUUCAAGAUUCAUGGCCUGAUUCAAUUAUUUUUUAAGUGUUAAGAUAAGUUUCCUCCUCCUACCAGGUUUCUUUGUUUAUAUAUUUUUUUCUACAGAGGGUUCAUUUUGAAUAUUGCAUUCAGAAAUGUUGACAAAACAUUUGUCAAGGAUUUCUUUGAAAUAAUUUUGCGAGUACCUAAUCUUGCAAGGUACUGAUAAAUGGAGCUCUUGAUUCUGGGACAAUGGAGGCCCAAACCCCAAAUGAAUUGCAUAAGCUCUCCAUUUCAUCACCAUAAACUUGAAAUAUAAAAAUGCUAUGAAAACAUUUGCUAUACCUCCCUUGGGUUAACUUUCCCUUCUUUUCUCUGUGAUUUCAUCUUUGAGUAGCUUUGCUGUUAUUGACCAAUUCUCUGUACCUUGUAGGGGUUGCUAAAUUCCUCAUCCUGUACUACUUUUGCUCUUUGUGUGCGCUGAUAGCUGCAGGUUAGGAUCAGGGUAUGUGGAGCCAUGUGCAUCUGAGACAGAGGAUUCUGGCCCCAAAAAUCGCACUGAUUAAAUAGGAGUCAAGUACUGAUACAGGCAGUUGAAAAUAAUUUUGGUGGUUUUUUUAAUGUGGCCUCUAGCAGUAUUUAAAGACUGCAAAGAUCCUUGUUAUCUUAUCGUUUCGACUCCUAUUAUUGUUGAACUCUGUGGUUAUACAUAUUUCAGCAUCUUCUUUUCAUGUCUCCCUACAUCUUUAUAACUGUUGGACAAGUUAGUACGUGAGAUGCCUCCUUUUAUGUGUGCUAGAUGUUGUAGAUCCUCCAAGGGAAGGAGUAAUUAAAUUACUGUUUCAAAGGAGUUCUCCACCACACUAAUAACUUAUCUGUAAGCUUAUUAAAGUAGUUGUUUGUACUCUAAAAUGACUAAAUAACUGUUGUAUAAUCUCAAAAUGACAAUAAAUCAUAAUUCCUUCUGGAUGGCGGCAGCUAUGACGUCUGGAUAUGCCUAACUGCUGAUGUCUGACAGUUUUAAAUACCAUACUUGCAGGUACCUGGAGGAGGGCACAGGAAAAUAACUACAAUUCCAGCUGUUGUGCAUUCUGCAUAUUCACACUGGCUAUCAAUGUUGCUGGUGUUGGACCAUCAGUUGGUGCUCAAGCAGCAACCUCAGCUAAGAGCUGGGUGGAGGCAAACAGCAGUGAUAGCUGCCUAGAAGAUUUUGUUAGCUUUUGGAAUCAAAGGUUUUAAAAGCCCCAUGUACUGAAAAGAUGAAGCAUUUUUUUUAUUUUCACCACCACGUCUUUGGGCAUGAAGGAGGGAGGAGGACUUGCCUGUGGGCAAGUUCUGCUGCCUCAGUGCAUUCUGCCAGUCAUUUUAAGUCCUUAGAGAGAGUAAGUCCAUGCAGACAAAGUAAGAGUAAGUCCAUUUAGACGCUGAACUGCUAUGAUAAAAGGCAGACAAAUAUAUGUGUGUGUUUGGACAGAGGGCUUAGCCUUUCCAAGACUUCUCUCUGCUUCCAGGGAAAAGACCUGUGUAGUGAGGGAGAAGAGGAAAGGAGAAUACAAGUUUCAGUCCUACAGCAUGAAUACAUGUGUGCCUGAUAAAAUUCUUCCUGCUAAUGAAGUUCAGCUUUUCUUUUUCAUCCUGUUGGAUCAAUGAAAUGCUCCCAAAAUAAGCUCCAAUGGCUGAUUUUUAUUACAGCCUUAAGGAAUAGUUUAAUUUUGCCUUAGAAAUGCAUCUGAUAUGGCCAUUUGCUCCUGGGAUCUGCAAGAAGAUUUUUACCUUCCCUUCAACAAAUGACUACUGCUGAUCUUUGGUGACCAGCAGCUGUGCGUACACUGUGUGCAUGUUCUAGAGGAGUCAGAAACAGGGUAACUAACUGGCCCAGGCAGAAUCAAGUAUUUCUAGCAAAAUGACAGGUUUAAAAAUAGAUUUAAUUGCACCAUCUCUUAAUGUGUCUAUAUUUUGGGAGGUGAUUGGGAAAAAAAGGUGUCCAGGUUAGAAGUUUUAUAAACUGCUUAGAGUGACAUGUUCCUUAGCCUUGGAAAAAACAUGUUUUGGGAUGAAAUGAGAAAUUUUAUGAUGACAGAAAUAUGAAUAUCCUAUCCAGACUGAAUGGAAAGCAUAGGAAAUGUAGCAAAAUGUACCUUCACAGUUCUCCCCUGCCACUGGAUAGCACCUAAAGGAACAUGACUGAAAAAAUAGGAUGACUUCAUGUUCCUUAGCAGGGCAUAUGGAAUGCCUUUUCUUCUUGCUCACUAUGGUGUUACCACUUCUUCAUGGCUAUGCCUGAACUGGCCUUGUGGGCCAGAUAUGCCAACGCACUCAUCUCUGAUGAACCUACUUAACUCCAGUUUGUACUUCUUGUGCUGGCCAUUCUCUAUCCCAAAGCAGUAGGGUCACUGUGGGAACACAACAGCAUUGGUUUUGGAAGAAGGCUGAGGCAUAGUAAGUUGUAACUGAGAAUCAGGAGCUCCUUCUUCAUUUGUUCUACUUAGAGAAAGUAGACCCACAACGUUUCUUUCGGGAUUGAUCUUCUAAGGGAACAAGGAAACU
This is a long non-coding RNA of Corvus hawaiiensis (hawaiian crow), 4335 nucleotides long. RefSeq lists it as uncharacterized. Lineage: Eukaryota; Metazoa; Chordata; Aves; Passeriformes; Corvidae. The record is from RefSeq and is a predicted model, not a curated record. The transcript has 9 exons.